Molecule: small nuclear RNA, 122 nt
Filed under: Basidiobolus meristosporus CBS 931.73
Lineage: Eukaryota; Fungi; Basidiobolomycota; Basidiobolomycetes; Basidiobolales; Basidiobolaceae
Description: U5 spliceosomal RNA
Rfam family: U5 spliceosomal RNA
About the family: U5 RNA is a component of both types of known spliceosome.
Source: Rfam by way of RNAcentral
CGUUCUCGUUUCCUUUUCAUCUUGUCGGAUAAAUCUUUCGCCUUUUACUAAAGAUUUCCGUGGAAGGGAAACAUUCAAGAGAACUGGUCUCAAUUUUUUGACUUCCACUCUCUGAGUGGAUU